CCUACGGGUGGCUGCAGUGAGGUAUAUUGGUCAAUGGACGCAAGUCUGAACCAGCCAUGCCGCGUGCAGGAAGACGGCUCUAUGAGUUGUAAACUGCUUUUGUACGGGGGUAAACGCAGAUACGCGUGCCUGUCUGCAAGUACUUUAUGAAUAAGGAUCGGCUAACUCCGUGCCAGCAGCCGCGGUAAUACGGAGGAUUCAAGCGUUAUCCGGAUUUAUUGGGUUUAAAGGGUGCGUAGGCCGCAUGUCAAGUCUGCUGUGAAAUGUUCGGGCUCAACCGGGGCCUUGCAGUGCGUACUGGCGUGCUUGAGUCCACGGAAGGCAGGCGGAAUUCGUGGUGUAGCGGUGAAAUGCUUAGAUAUGACGAAGAACCCCGAUUGCGAAGGCAGCUUGCUGAAGCGGAACUGACGCUGAUGCUCGAAAGCGCGGGUAUCGAACAGGAUUAGAUACCCGAGUAGUC
RNAcentral lists this ribosomal RNA (460 nucleotides) under uncultured bacterium. Its description in RNAcentral is "partial 16S ribosomal RNA". It matches the Rfam family "Bacterial small subunit ribosomal RNA", at positions 338 to 795 of the family's 1533-position model. The record is from RNAcentral.